This 907-nucleotide ribosomal RNA is filed under the name Pyrenophora seminiperda. RNAcentral's name for it is "partial large subunit ribosomal RNA". It matches the Rfam family "Eukaryotic large subunit ribosomal RNA", at positions 36 to 961 of the family's 3401-position model. Lineage: Eukaryota; Fungi; Ascomycota; Dothideomycetes; Pleosporales; Pleosporaceae. The record is from RNAcentral.
UAGCAUAUCAAUAAGCGGAGGAAAAGAAACCAACAGGGAUUGCCCUAGUAACGGCGAGUGAAGCGGCAACAGCUCAAAUUUGAAAUCUGGCUCUUUCAGAGUCCGAGUUGUAAUUUGCAGAGGGCGCUUUGGCUUUGGCAGCGGUCCAAGUUCCUUGGAACAGGACGUCACAGAGGGUGAGAAUCCCGUACGUGGUCGCUAGCUAUUGCCGUGUAAAGCCCCUUCGACGAGUCGAGUUGUUUGGGAAUGCAGCUCUAAAUGGGAGGUAAAUUUCUUCUAAAGCUAAAUACUGGCCAGAGACCGAUAGCGCACAAGUAGAGUGAUCGAAAGAUGAAAAGCACUUUGGAAAGAGAGUCAAACAGCACGUGAAAUUGUUGAAAGGGAAGCGCUUGCAGCCAGACUUGCUUGCAGUUGCUCAUCCGGGCUUUUGCCCGGUGCACUCUUCUGCAGGCAGGCCAGCAUCAGUUUGGGCGGUGGGAUAAAGGUCUCUGUCACGUACCUCUCUUCGGGGAGGCCUUAUAGGGGAGGCGACAUACCACCAGCCUGGACUGAGGUCCGCGCAUCUGCUAGGAUGCUGGCGUAAUGGCUGUAAGCGGCCCGUCUUGAAACACGGACCAAGGAGUCUAACAUCUAUGCGAGUGUUUGGGUGUCAAGCCCGAACGCGUAAUGAAAGUGAACGGAGGUGGGAACCCGCAAGGGUGCACCAUCGACCGAUCCUGAUGUCUUCGGAAGGAUUUGAGUAAGAGCAUGGCUGUUGGGACCCGAAAGAUGGUGAACUAUGCUUGAAUAGGGUGAAGCCAGAGGAAACUCUGGUGGAGGCUCGCAGCGGUUCUGACGUGCAAAUCGAUCGUCAAAUUUGGGCAUAGGGGCGAAAGACUAAUCGAACUAUCUAGUAGCUGGGUCUGCG